GUCCAGACUCCUACGGGAGGCAGCAGUGGGGGAUAUUGCACAAUGGGGGAAACCCUGAUGCAGCGACGCCGCGUGAGUGAAGAAGUAAUUCGUUAUGUAAAGCUCUAUCAGCAGGGAAGAAAAUGACGGUACCUGAGUAAGAAGCCCCGGCUAACUACGUGCCAGCAGCCGCGGUAAUACGUAGGGGGCAAGCGUUAUCCGGAUUUACUGGGUGUAAAGGGAGCGUAGACGGCAGUGCAAGUCUGAAGUGAAAGGCGGGGGCCCAACCCCCGGACUGCUUUGGAAACUGUGCUGCUGGAGUGCAGGAGAGGCAAGUGGAAUUCCUAGUGUAGCGGUGAAAUGCGUAGAUAUCAGGAGGAACACCGGUGGCGAAGGCGGCCUGCUGGACUGCAACUGACGUUGAGGCCCGAAAGCGUGGGGAGCAAACAGGAUUAGAUACCCCUGUAG
This 447-nucleotide ribosomal RNA is filed under the name uncultured bacterium. RNAcentral's name for it is "bacterial SSU rRNA". It matches the Rfam family "Bacterial small subunit ribosomal RNA", at positions 329 to 793 of the family's 1533-position model. The record is from RNAcentral.